Molecule: transfer RNA, 65 nt
Filed under: Brachymeria sp. ZJUH_2016006
Lineage: Eukaryota; Metazoa; Arthropoda; Insecta; Hymenoptera; Chalcididae
Description: tRNA-Pro
Source: RNAcentral
CAAAAAAUAGUUUAAAUAAAAUAUUAAUUUUGGAGAUUAAAGAUAUAUUAUAAAUAUUUUUUUGA